GGCCGGCACUACUUUAUAUACACAGAAUGUUCCACUAAAAAAUGUAUUUAUAAAGGCGAGAAAUUUAACAGUAUUUAGGUUAAAUAAGAUAACGAAGUCAAUUAAGGAGAAAAGAGCUACGAAUAGUAAGAUGACACGUGGCCCGAUUGGUGUCGCGUCGACGUCGGAUCUGAAAGCUAAAUCGAGUCAAAACAAGCAUAUCUAUCCUCGAAUUUGUUCAUCGGAGCGUGCCAACUUCCUUACGCUACUCAACAUUUUCGCAACAUUACGUGCCUAUUUCACACCAAGUUGUAUAUUUCCGGAGGAGCGGAAAUGCAAAAUUACCCGAUACCGGUUGUUUUUCACUCGACUGACACACCAGUAACUGGUCGAAAUUAAUGCUCAGGCUGCGACAAGAUGAUAGCGAAGCAAGCGAUGGCAACGAGCUAACGCUGUGUAUUUGGGCCCGACACGAGCGUUCUAGGGUCAAUCAGCAGAGUCAACAUCGGCAAUAAUAGAACGAGCAAACAAAAUCUGGCGCCGCGGGAUUACAUGGCAGUCCAUCUCCGAAGCGUUCGAUCGAAUUGCUUGAAACGCGACACCGAGACCACUUUCUAGCAUCUCGUCGUGUCUCAGGUUGCCUACGGGACUUUGAGGUUGGGGUUAAGCAAAACGAAGAAAACUGCCAUCGAGUCUGUCCGGCUAACGCGUUUUCUAUGUUUUGUAUCGCUCGUGUCCAUG
RNAcentral lists this unclassified non-coding RNA (720 nucleotides) under Bombus terrestris (buff-tailed bumblebee). RNAcentral's name for it is "misc RNA ENSBTSG00005034934.1". The record is from RNAcentral. Lineage: Eukaryota; Metazoa; Arthropoda; Insecta; Hymenoptera; Apidae.